This 253-nucleotide ribosomal RNA is filed under the name uncultured bacterium. Its description in RNAcentral is "partial 16S ribosomal RNA". It matches the Rfam family "Bacterial small subunit ribosomal RNA", at positions 524 to 776 of the family's 1533-position model. The record is from RNAcentral.
CACGUAGGGUGCGAGCGUUGUCCGGAAUUACUGGGCGUAAAGGGCUCGUAGGCGGCCAACUAAGUCGGAUGUGAAAUCCCCAGGCUUAACCUGGGAACUGCAUCCGAUACUGGAUGGCUUGAAUCCGGGAGAGGGAUGCAGAAUUCCAGGUGUAGCGGUGAAAUGCGUAGAUAUCUGGAGGAACACCGGUGGCGAAGGCGGCAUCCUGGACCGACACUGACGCUGAGGAGCGAAAGCCAGGGGAGCAAACGGG